RNAcentral lists this ribosomal RNA (460 nucleotides) under uncultured bacterium. RNAcentral describes it as "partial 16S ribosomal RNA". It matches the Rfam family "Bacterial small subunit ribosomal RNA", at positions 338 to 795 of the family's 1533-position model. The record is from RNAcentral.
CCUACGGGAGGCAGCAGUGAGGAAUAUUGGUCAAUGGUCGAGAGUCUGAACCAGCCAAGUAGCGUGAAGGAUGACUGCCCUAUGGGUUGUAAACUUCUUUUAUAAAGGAAUAAAACGAGGCACGUGUGCCUUUUUGCAUGUACUUUAUGAAUAAGGAUCGGCUAACUCCGUGCCAGCAGCCGCGGUAAUACGGAGGAUCCGAGCGUUAUCCGGAUUUAUUGGGUUUAAAGGGAGCGUAGAUGGGUUGUUAAGUCAGUUGUGAAAUGUUGGGGCUCAACCGUAAAAUUGCAGUGGAUACUGGCAGUCUUGAGUACGGGUGAGGUAGGCGGAAUUCGUGGUGUAGCGGUGAAAUGCUUAGAUAUCACGAAGAACCCCGAUGGCGAAGGCAGCUUACUAAACUGUGACUGACGUUGAUGCUCGAAAGUGUGGGUAUCAAACAGGAUUAGAUACCCGAGUAGUC